Molecule: transfer RNA, 73 nt
Filed under: Ilumatobacter coccineus
Lineage: Bacteria; Bacillati; Actinomycetota; Acidimicrobiia; Acidimicrobiales; Ilumatobacteraceae
Also listed under: 1 other name
Description: tRNA-Ala
Rfam family: tRNA
About the family: Transfer RNA (tRNA) molecules are approximately 80 nucleotides in length. Their secondary structure includes four short double-helical elements and three loops (D, anti-codon, and T loops).
Source: RNAcentral
GGGGCUGUAGCUCAGUUGGCAGAGCGCUGCGUUCGCAAUGCAGAGGUCAGGGGUUCAAUUCCCCUCAGCUCCA